RNAcentral lists this ribosomal RNA (422 nucleotides) under uncultured bacterium. Its description in RNAcentral is "partial 16S ribosomal RNA". It matches the Rfam family "Bacterial small subunit ribosomal RNA", at positions 359 to 773 of the family's 1533-position model. The record is from RNAcentral.
GAAUUUUGGACAAUGGGCGAAAGCCUGAUCCAGCAAUGCCGCGUGCAGGAUGAAGGCCUUCGGGUUGUAAACUGCUUUUGUACGGAACGAAAAGCUUUGGUGUACUAACCUGGAGUCAGUACGGUACCGUAAGAAUAAGCAGCGGCUAACUGCGUGCCCGGAGCCGCGGUAAUACGUAGGGUGCAAGCGUUAAUCGGAAUAACUGGGCGUAAAGCGUGCGCAGGCGGUUUUGUAAGACAGAGGUGAAAUCCCCGGGCUCAACCUGGGAACUGCCUUUGUGACUGCAAGGCUAGAGUACGGCAGAGGGGGGUGGAAUUCCGCGUGUAGCAGUGAAAUGCGUAGAUAUGCGGAGGAACACCGAUGGCGAAGGCAACCCCCUGGGCCUGUACUGACGCUCAUGCACGAAAGCGUGGGGAGCAAAC